GCCUUCGUGGUGUAAUGGCCAGCACACUCGGAGCAGUUGUAUUCAAGAAGUCUGAGGUUCGAGUCCCACCGAGGGCA
Molecule: transfer RNA, 77 nt
Filed under: Stegodyphus mimosarum
Lineage: Eukaryota; Metazoa; Arthropoda; Arachnida; Araneae; Eresidae
Rfam family: tRNA
About the family: Transfer RNA (tRNA) molecules are approximately 80 nucleotides in length. Their secondary structure includes four short double-helical elements and three loops (D, anti-codon, and T loops). Further hydrogen bonds mediate the characteristic L-shaped molecular structure. tRNAs have two regions of fundamental functional importance: the anti-codon, which is responsible for specific mRNA codon recognition, and the 3' end, to which the tRNAs corresponding amino acid is attached (by aminoacyl-tRNA synthetases). tRNAs cope with the degeneracy of the genetic code in two manners: having more than one tRNA (with a specific anti-codon) for a particular amino acid; and 'wobble' base-pairing, i.e. permitting non-standard base-pairing at the 3rd anti-codon position.
Source: Rfam by way of RNAcentral